CACUUCGUAGCUCAGUCGAUAGAGCAACAGGCUUUUAACCUGUGGGUCCUGAGUUCAAGUCUCAGCGGAGUGA
This 73-nucleotide transfer RNA is filed under the name Crassvirales sp. Its description in RNAcentral is "tRNA-Lys". It matches the Rfam family "tRNA". Rfam says of the family: Transfer RNA (tRNA) molecules are approximately 80 nucleotides in length. Their secondary structure includes four short double-helical elements and three loops (D, anti-codon, and T loops). Lineage: Duplodnaviria; Heunggongvirae; Uroviricota; Caudoviricetes; Crassvirales. The record is from RNAcentral.